This is a long non-coding RNA of Drosophila miranda, 90 nucleotides long. RefSeq lists it as uncharacterized. The record is from RefSeq and is a predicted model, not a curated record. NCBI's taxonomy places the organism in Eukaryota, Metazoa, Arthropoda, Insecta, Diptera, Drosophilidae. The transcript is spliced from 2 exons.
UGGUCAUGCAUCUUACCAACGGUUUCCGUACAGCUUAAUUUUUCGGAUCACAUGAAGCUCAUUCUUUGUCCGCGUAUGAGUGCCAUUACA